UUGCAAUCUUGCUGGCCAAGAUGUUGUUCCUUACCUGGGCUGGUUGGAGACGUUGGUCCACUGAAGCAGUGCUGAGCAUGUCUGUCUGCAGGGAGAAGCUGGGAGGGCACCUCCUGUCCUCAGUAGCCUUGCAGCACGUGCCAGCCAGAGGAUAGAGAUGUGUAGGGUUUGCUGCAGGGUGAGAGCAUCAGCUGGGCAUGCAGGUCCACAGUGGCAGUCUUUCUUACCAUGGUAGGGUGCGCUUUCCUAGCCGGCUCUUAGCAAGGCUGUUUGUCAGCUAUCUGCAUCAGUAAUUUGACCUGACAUGUAUUCUGAUCCUUGCUAGGGAACCUAGUUAAAAUCGGAGAAAAGCUGACACUGAAGAGCUUGGCAAAAUGAUGAAUUCUGAAUGUUGGGUGAAACCCCACAUAUUUGGCUUUUAGACUCGAAGCUCUGCCAGGCGCGCUAAUGCUUUCAACUUGGCUGCGAUUCUUUGAACUAUAUUGUGGGUAGAAAACGUGAGAAGUCUGGGAAUGAUGAGCUGAAGUUAAAUGUAAAAAUGCGCGAACUCUGAAUUCGUUUCUCUUUCUAGCUGCAGGCUAAACCUUUUGAUGAGCUUAAAUUAAAUUCUUUAAGGAUGCCCAUUCAGGCAGUCCCUCUGUUGGCAAGAUACUCUGUGGGUUACUUGGAAUUGUUGGCAGCUGUCUCAAGAUUUUUUCUUUUCUCAUUAAAAUUAAUGGCAGAUCUUCUGUGUGUUAAGACAGCUUUGAAGAUUAGUCAGUGUUUCCAGAGGCAAGAGUAGUAGCUGUUUCUAAAGCUAGAUGCAUAAAUGCAAUAUAUUCACUACGGCAUUUGGAUUAUGAAACAUCUUGAUUUCUUUGGUUUUACUUUCUUGGCUUAAUGCUUCUUUACACUUCUGGCUUAUUUUCUGUUGUGAAACUUGUAAUACGGUUUAUAGAGAAGUACGGUGUUCUUGCCACCAGCUCAUUGCAGUUAUAUUUGGGGAGGUUUUUUUAAGACAGGAGGCUAAUCAUAGUAACA
Long non-coding RNA from Strigops habroptila (Kakapo), 1020 nucleotides. RefSeq lists it as uncharacterized. Lineage: Eukaryota; Metazoa; Chordata; Aves; Psittaciformes; Psittacidae. The transcript has 2 exons. The record is from RefSeq and is a predicted model, not a curated record.